Molecule: ribosomal RNA, 272 nt
Filed under: uncultured bacterium
Lineage: Bacteria
Description: partial 16S ribosomal RNA
Rfam family: Bacterial small subunit ribosomal RNA
Source: RNAcentral
GAUGAACGCUGGCGGCGUGCUUAACACAUGCAAGUCGAACGGUCGCAAGACAGUGGCGCACGGGUGAGGAACACGUAGCUUAUCUGCCCCGAAGUGUGGGAUAACGCUCCGAAAGGAGUGCUAAUACCGCAUAAGCUCCCGAGCUAUAGAGGCUUGGGAGAAAAGGCGCAAGUCGCUUUGGGAGGAGGCUGCGGCCCAUCAGGUAGUUGGUGCGGUAACGGCGCACCAAGCCAACGACGGGUAGGGGACCUGAGAGGGUGAUCCCCCACACU